Plodia interpunctella (Indianmeal moth) is the source of this 898-nucleotide long non-coding RNA. RefSeq lists it as uncharacterized. The record is from RefSeq and is a predicted model, not a curated record. The transcript has 2 exons. Lineage: Eukaryota; Metazoa; Arthropoda; Insecta; Lepidoptera; Pyralidae.
UAACAAUGUGACAAAGAACCCUAUUUAUUUAUUGAGCUCCCUCGUAGCUUUAGUUAAGCUGCGGUCGAACCUAUGUCCCCGCCGAUACAAGCCCACACAUUGUUCCUGCGACCGUGGCAGCAAACUCUGUUCCCAAACAUAUUAGUAACAUCGUCGUGGAAAAUUUUCUGUCGACUAGCAAAAUACUACUUUAGUAAGUAGGUAUAAAAUGACAAUAAAAUGACAAAGAGCAAGUAGAUAGGUACUUAAAUUACAAAUAGACAUACGCCGCUCUUGAGUCGACAUCGAUGACACGCUCGCGGGCGGACAGACGGCGGCUGCUGCGAAUAUGUAUUCUACAGUGAAGUAAAUACUGACAUGCAUUCUACUUGAUUUGAGACGUACCAUUGUGAUCGCAGAUCUAACAAGCCACCCUGACAAUUUGCCGUACAAAAAACAUCAACGACCCUCUCAAAUAUAAGUAAUAAAAAUUUUACUAAACGAAAAUGUCGAAACUAUGGAAAAAAUUGAUAUCUGUUAAAAAUUUACGAUUUGAUAUAAUGAAGGUAUUAUAAUUUUGCUGCUACCGAAGUGACGGCGUAGCAGUGCUACCGGCUACGACGCGCGCUGCCGGCGGGCCCUCUACGACGCGCUACGCCGUAGCCGCCGCUACGCCACCACACAGGAAAUAUUUGGUUUGUUUGAUUUUCUUUGAAUCUAACCUUUGAUAAAGUUUACUUUCAACAAUAUCUAACCAUUAAAUGGCGUUUAAAAUAAAUGUCUUCGCUUCAUUAGGAUGUGGAGUGGAACUUUAGUGGGAUAUGAUUUGUAUCAAUUUUUUGCAGAUCGGGAAAAACUAUUAAUGUCAUGAGUAAAACGCUUUCACAAUUUGAAAAAAAUAAAUCAGCUUUACUGCAAA